This 72-nucleotide transfer RNA is filed under the name Omnitrophica WOR_2 bacterium GWA2_47_8. RNAcentral's name for it is "tRNA-Val". It matches the Rfam family "tRNA". From Rfam's summary of the family: Transfer RNA (tRNA) molecules are approximately 80 nucleotides in length. Their secondary structure includes four short double-helical elements and three loops (D, anti-codon, and T loops). The record is from RNAcentral. Lineage: Bacteria; Pseudomonadati; Candidatus Omnitrophota.
GGGCAAUUAACUCAGCGGUAGAGUGUUACCUUCACACGGUAAAAGUCAGAGGUUCGAAUCCUCUAUUGCCCA